Molecule: ribosomal RNA, 492 nt
Filed under: uncultured bacterium
Lineage: Bacteria
Description: partial 16S ribosomal RNA
Rfam family: Bacterial small subunit ribosomal RNA
Source: RNAcentral
AGUGAACGCUGGCGGUAGGCCUAACACAUGCCAGUCGAACGGCAGCACAGUAAGGGCUUGCUCUUACGGGUGGCGAGUGGCGGACGGGUGAGGAAUACAUCGGAAUCUACUUUUUCGUGGGGGAUAACGUAGGGAAACUUACGCUAAUACCGCAUACGACCUACGGGUGAAAGCAGGGGAUCUUCGGACCUUGCGCGAUUGAAUGAGCCGAUGUCGGAUUAGCUAGUUGGCGGGGUAAAGGCCCACCAAGGCGACGAUCCGUAGCUGGUCUGAGAGGAUGAGAGGCAACACUGGAACUGAGACACGGUCCAGACUCCUACGGGAGGCAGCAGUAGGGAAUGUUGGGCAAUGGGCGAAAGCCUGAACGAGCCAUGCCGCGUGAGUGAAGAAGGUCUUCGGAUUGUAAAGCCCUGUUAUUGGGAAAGAACAACAGCGGGUGAAACCCUGGCUGUCUUGACGGUACCUAAUGAGAAAGCACCGGCUAACUACGUG